UUUUAAUUUAGAGAGGUAGUGACGAUAAUUAAUAGAGUUGGUCUAUUCGAUCAAUUCAAUUAUAAUGAUUAGAGUUUAAAAAAAUUUAAGAAAUCGAUUGGAGGGCAAGUCUGGUGCCAGCAGCCGCGGUAAUUCCAGCUCCAAUAGUGUAUAUUAAAGUUGUUGUGUUUAAAAAGCUCGUAGUCGAAUUAUAAGUUUUUUAUAAUAGUUUUUAAAAAGACUAAUAUAAAAAAAGGAGAAAGGUUUUUUUAAUCUUUUAUUUACUUUGAAAAAAAUAGAGUGUUUAAAGCAAAAGUUAAUUAAUGUAUAAUGAAGCAUAGGAUAAUAAUGAGGAGAAUAAAUUUUUGAGAACAGUAUUAAAAAGGGAAAUUGGGGUAAUUUAGACAAAAUCGGGAGAGGUGAAAAUUCAUGAUCGAUUUUGGAUAAACUAAAGCGAAAGCAUUUUACUCAUAUUCUUUUAUUUGAUCAAGAACGAAAGUUAGGGGAUCGAAGUCGAUUAGAUACCGUCGUAGUCCUAACUAUAAACUAUGUCAACUGGGGAUUGGAUGAAAAUAAACAAGAAAGAUUUUUUUUCGAUUCGGAAGUUUAUCUUAAUUGUUACUCUCUUAUUCAGGAUUUAA
RNAcentral lists this ribosomal RNA (620 nucleotides) under Entamoeba polecki. RNAcentral's name for it is "partial small subunit ribosomal RNA". It matches the Rfam family "Eukaryotic small subunit ribosomal RNA", at positions 449 to 1090 of the family's 1831-position model. Lineage: Eukaryota; Evosea; Mastigamoebida; Endamoebidae. The record is from RNAcentral.